AUUGAACGCUGGCGGCAUGCCUAACACAUGCAAGUCGAGCGGAUGAAGGGAGCUUUCUCCUGGAUUCAGCUGCGGACGGGUGAGUAAUGCCUAGGAAUCUGCCUGGUCUUGGGGGAUAACGUCCGGAAACGGGCGCUAAUACCGCAUACGUCCUGAUGUAGAAAGGGGUGGAUCUUCGGACCUCACGCUAUCAGAUGAGCCUAGGUCGGAUUAGCUAGUUGGUUGGGUAAAGGCCUACCAAGGCGACGAUCCGUAACUGGUCUGAGAGGAUGAUCAGUCACACUGGAACUGAGACACGGUCCAGACUCCUACGGGAGGCAGCAGUGGGGAAUAUUGGACAAUGGGCGAAAGCCUGAUCCAGCCAUGCCGCGUGUGUGAAGAAGGUCUUCGGAUUGUAAAGCACUUUAAGUUGGGAGGAAGGGAAGUAAGUUAAUACCUUGCUGUUUUGACGUUACCAACAGAAUAAGCACCGGCUAACUUCGUG
Molecule: ribosomal RNA, 484 nt
Filed under: uncultured bacterium
Lineage: Bacteria
Description: partial 16S ribosomal RNA
Rfam family: Bacterial small subunit ribosomal RNA
Source: RNAcentral